Molecule: ribosomal RNA, 497 nt
Filed under: uncultured bacterium
Lineage: Bacteria
Description: partial 16S ribosomal RNA
Rfam family: Bacterial small subunit ribosomal RNA
Source: RNAcentral
GAUGAACGCUGGCGGCGUGCCUAAUACAUGCAAGUCGAGCGAACGGACGAGACGCUUGCUUCUCUGAUGUUAGCGGCGGACGGGUGAGUAACACGUGGAAAACCCACCUAUAAGACUGGGAUAAUUUCGGGAAACCGGAGCUAAUACCGGAUAAUAUUUUGAACCGCAUGGUUCAAAAGUGAAAGACGGUCUUGCUGUCACUUAUAGAUGGAUCCGCGCUGCAUGAGCUAGUUGGGAAGGUAACGGCUUACCAAGGCAACGAUGCAUAGCCGAGCUGAGAGGGGGGUCGGCCACACUGGAAGUGAGCCAGGGUCCAGACGCCUACGGGAGGCAGCAGUAGGGAAUCGGCCGCAGUGGGGGAAAGCCUGGCGGAGCAACGGCGCGUGAGUUGUGAAGGUCUUGGGAUCGUAAUACUCUGUUAUUAGUGAAGAACAGAUGUGGAAGUAACUGUGCACAUCUUGACGGUACCUAAUCAGGAAGCCACGGCUAACUACGUG